Molecule: long non-coding RNA, 588 nt
Organism: Polistes dominula (European paper wasp)
Lineage: Eukaryota; Metazoa; Arthropoda; Insecta; Hymenoptera; Vespidae
Source: RefSeq, a predicted model, not a curated record
UUUCUAGUUCAGCAUCUCUGCAACAAGAAGGAAAGUUCUCCGAGGAUCAGUUUUUUUCUUUUAUAUUUAUAUAAUUAUAUAUUUCUAAAAGCAUCGAUAUUUUAUUAAUUAAAUAUUAUUACAAAUAUAACAAAUAUUAUUAUUAACAAACCGCGAAUUUUGUUUUCUUUCAAAAAGUAGUUAAAAUGAAUAGUUGCAUUUCGACCACGUGUUCAAUCCUAAUAUCGAUGCAUAUGCAAUUCUUAAUCGUUAAACAUCAAGAUUUAUAUAAAUUCUAUCAUUAUAAUACCUCCUGAAAAAAGGCAGCCGCAUGUUUACAGGGUAAUGAAUGUUCACUGCUUGCUUUGAACAAAGAUGCAGUAACACUGGAAAUCUGAACAAAAUUUUAUCAAAGAUUUCAAAAUGAUGACUUUGAUCUUUUUGAUAGAGAAUGUUCUGGAGAGCUGAGAAAAUUUGAAAGCGAAAAAAUCAACAAAAAGAAUUCGGCAGUUACCUGAAACGUGGGCUGAAGUCAUUGAAAAAAAUUAAGAUUAUUUCGAAAAAUAAUAGAUGUAUGAUUACUUUUAGAAAUAAAUACUAAAAUUUGUU